UUCUAAUAGUUUAUACUAAAAUACUAGUUUUGUAAACUAGAGAUACUAAGGUUUAGAAUAU
This 61-nucleotide transfer RNA is filed under the name Livia junci. Its description in RNAcentral is "tRNA-Thr". Lineage: Eukaryota; Metazoa; Arthropoda; Insecta; Hemiptera; Liviidae. The record is from RNAcentral.